UACGUAGGGGCGGGCGUUGUCCGGAAUUAUUGGGCGUAAAGGGCGUGUAGGCGGUUAUUUAAGUCAGGUGUGAAACACCACGGCUCAACCGUGGGGUUGCACUUGAAACUGGAGGACUUGAGUGCAGGAGAGGAGAGCGGAAUUCCCGGUGUAGCGGUGAAAUGCGUAGAUAUCGGGAAGAACACCAGUGGCGAAGGCGGCUCUCUGGCCUGCAACUGACGCUGAGGCGCGAAAGCUAGGGUAGCGAACGGGAUUAGAUACCCGGGUAGUCCCUGAGCGGGCU
This 283-nucleotide ribosomal RNA is filed under the name uncultured prokaryote. Its description in RNAcentral is "partial 16S ribosomal RNA". It matches the Rfam family "Bacterial small subunit ribosomal RNA", at positions 524 to 805 of the family's 1533-position model. The record is from RNAcentral.